CCUACGGGAGGCUGCAGUGAGGAAUAUUGGUCAAUGGGCGCGAGCCUGAACCAGCCAAGUCGCGUGAGGGAUGACGGACCUACGGGUUGUAAACCUCUUUUGCCGGGGAGCAACGGGCGCCACGUGUGGCGCCACUGAGAGUACCCGGAGAAAAAGCAUCGGCUAACUCCGUGACAGCAGCCGCGGUAAUACGGAGGAUGCGAGCGUUAUCCGGAGUUAUUGGGUUUAAAGGGUGCGUAGGCGGAUCGGUAAGUCAGUGGUCAAAUUGAGGGGCUCAACCCCUUCCCGCCAUUGAAACUGGCGCUCUUGAGUGGAAGAGAAGUAUGCGGAAUGCGUGGUGUAGCGGUGAAAUGCAUAGAUAUCACGCAGAACCCCGAUUGCGAAGGCAGCAUGCCGGCUUCCGACUGACGCUGAAGCACGAAAGCGUGGGGAUCGAACAGGAUUAGAUACCCGUGUAGUC
This 460-nucleotide ribosomal RNA is filed under the name uncultured bacterium. Its description in RNAcentral is "partial 16S ribosomal RNA". It matches the Rfam family "Bacterial small subunit ribosomal RNA", at positions 338 to 795 of the family's 1533-position model. The record is from RNAcentral.